CCGUACAACCUUCUAGCUUUAC
RNAcentral lists this microRNA (22 nucleotides) under Eisenia fetida (common brandling worm). Its description in RNAcentral is "Efe-Let-7-P13_3p* (star (passenger))". The record is from RNAcentral. Lineage: Eukaryota; Metazoa; Annelida; Clitellata; Crassiclitellata; Lumbricidae.